GUUGUACUCCCUCCAUCCUGAAUUAGUUGUCUUAAUAGUUUUGUCUAGGUAUAGAUGUAUCUAGACACAUUAAAGUGUUAGGUAUAUCUGUAUCUAGACAAAACUAAGACAACUAAUUUGGGACGGAGGUAAUAUUAC
This is a non-coding RNA of Triticum aestivum (bread wheat), 138 nucleotides long. NCBI's taxonomy places the organism in Eukaryota, Viridiplantae, Streptophyta, Magnoliopsida, Poales, Poaceae. The record is from Rfam.